GACGAGCGCUGGCGGCGUGCUUAACACAUGCAAGUCGAACGGAAAGGCCCUGCUUUUGUGGGGUGCUCGAGUGGCGAACGGGUGAGUAACACGUGAGUAACCUGCCCUUGACUUUGGGAUAACUUCAGGAAACUGGGGCUAAUACCGGAUAGGAGCUCCUGCUGCAUGGUGGGGGUUGGAAAGUUUCGGCGGUUGGGGAUGGACUCGCGGCUUAUCAGCUUGUUGGUGGGGUAGUGGCUUACCAAGGCUUUGACGGGUAGCCGGCCUGAGAGGGUGACCGGCCACAUUGGAACUGAGAUACGGCCCAGACUCCUACGGGAGGCAGCAGUGGGGAAUAUUGCACAAUGGGCGGAAGCCUGAUGCAGCAACGCCGCGUGCGGGAUGACGGCCUUCGGGUUGUAAACCGCUUUCGCCUGUGGCGAAGCGUGAGUGACGGUAAUGGGUAAAGAAGCACCGGCUAACUACGUG
Molecule: ribosomal RNA, 468 nt
Filed under: uncultured bacterium
Lineage: Bacteria
Description: partial 16S ribosomal RNA
Rfam family: Bacterial small subunit ribosomal RNA
Source: RNAcentral